UUAGAGUUUGAUCCCUGGCUCAGGACGAACGCUGGCGGCGUGCCUAAUACAUGCAAGUCGAGCGGACAGAAGGGAGCUUGCUCCCGGAUGUUAGCGGCGGACGGGUGAGUAACACGUGGGUAACCUGCCUGUAAGACUGGGAUAACUCCGGGAAACCGGAGCUAAUACCGGAUAGUUCCUUGAACCGCAUGGUUCAAGGAUGAAAGACGGUUUCGGCUGUCACUUACAGAUGGACCCGCGGCGCAUUAGCUAGUUGGUGGGGUAAUGGCUCACCAAGGCGACGAUGCGUAGCCGACCUGAGAGGGUGAUCGGCCACACUGGGACUGAGACACGGCCCAGACUCCUACGGGAGGCAGCAGUAGGGAAUCUUCCGCAAUGGACGAAAGUCUGACGGAGCAACGCCGCGUGAGUGAUGAAGGUUUUCGGAUCGUAAAGCUCUGUUGUUAGGGAAGAACAAGUGCGAGAGUAACUGCUCGCACCUAGACGUACCUAACCAGAAAGC
Molecule: ribosomal RNA, 502 nt
Filed under: Bacillus pumilus
Lineage: Bacteria; Bacillati; Bacillota; Bacilli; Caryophanales; Bacillaceae
Description: bacterial SSU rRNA
Rfam family: Bacterial small subunit ribosomal RNA
Source: RNAcentral